This 549-nucleotide ribosomal RNA is filed under the name uncultured Rhizophagus. RNAcentral's name for it is "SSU rRNA". It matches the Rfam family "Eukaryotic small subunit ribosomal RNA", at positions 548 to 1098 of the family's 1831-position model. Lineage: Eukaryota; Fungi; Glomeromycota; Glomeromycetes; Glomerales; Glomeraceae. The record is from RNAcentral.
UUGGAGGGCAAGUCUGGUGCCAGCAGCCGCGGUAAUUCCAGCUCCAAUAGCGUAUAUUAAAGUUGUUGCAGUUAAAAAGCUCGUAGUUGAAUUUCGGGGUCAGUAGGUUGGUCAUGCCACAGGUAUGUACUGGUCUCACUGAUUCCUCCUUCCUGAUGAACUGUAAUGCCAUUAAUUUGGUGUUGCAGGAAAUCUGGACUGUUACUUUGAAAAAAUUAGAGUGUUUAAAGCAAGCUAACGCUUGAAUACAUUAGCAUGGAAUAAUGAAAUAGGACGUUCGAUCCUAUUUUGUUGGUUUCUAGGAUUGACGUAAUGAUUAAUAGGGAUAGUUGGGGGCAUUAGUAUUCAAUUGUCAGAGGUGAAAUUCUUGGAUUUAUUGAAGACUAACUACUGCGAAAGCAUUUGCCAAGGAUGUUUUCAUUAAUCAAGAACGAAAGUUAGGGGAUCGAAGACGAUCAGAUACCGUCGUAGUCUUAACCAUAAACUAUGCCGACUAGGGAUCGGAUGAUGUUAAUUUUUUAAUGACUCAUUCGGCGCCUUACGGGAAAC